UACGUAGGGGGCAAGCGUUGUCCGGAUUUAUUAGGCGUAAAGAGCGUGUAGGCGGCCAUACAGGUCAGCUGUGAAAACUCGAGGCUCAACCUCGAGACGCCGGUUGAAACCGUAUGGCUAGAGUCCGGAAGAGGAGAGUGGAAUUCCCGGUGUAGCGGUGAAAUGCGCAGAUAUCGGGAAGAACACCCGUGGCGAAGGCGGCUCUCUGGGACGGUACUGACGCUGAGACGCGAAAGCGUGGGGAGCGAACAGG
RNAcentral lists this ribosomal RNA (253 nucleotides) under uncultured bacterium. RNAcentral describes it as "partial 16S ribosomal RNA". It matches the Rfam family "Bacterial small subunit ribosomal RNA", at positions 524 to 776 of the family's 1533-position model. The record is from RNAcentral.